This 1371-nucleotide ribosomal RNA is filed under the name uncultured bacterium. Its description in RNAcentral is "bacterial SSU rRNA". It matches the Rfam family "Bacterial small subunit ribosomal RNA", at positions 28 to 1381 of the family's 1533-position model. The record is from RNAcentral.
GAUAAACGCUGGCGGCGUGCCUAAUACAUGCAAGUCGAGCGAACGGACGAGAAGCUUGCUUCUCUGAUGUUAGCGGCGGACGGGUGAGUAACACGUGGAUAACCUACCUAUAAGACUGGGAUAACUUCGGGAAACCGGAGCUAAUACCGGAUAAUAUUUUGAACCGCAUGGUUCAAAAGUGAAAGACGGUCUUGCUGUCACUUAUAGAUGGAUCCGCGCUGCAUUAGCUAGUUGGUAAGGUAACGGCUUACCAAGGCAACGAUGCAUAGCCGACCUGAGAGGGUGAUCGGCCACACUGGAACUGAGACACGGUCCAGACUCCUACGGGAGGCAGCAGUAGGGAAUCUUCCGCAAUGGGCGAAAGCCUGACGGAGCAACGCCGCGUGAGUGAUGAAGGUCUUCGGAUCGUAAAACUCUGUUAUUAGGGAAGAACAAAUGUGUAAGUAACUAUGCACGUCUUGACGGUACCUAAUCAGAAAGCCACGGCUAACUACGUGCCAGCAGCCGCGGUAAUACGUANGUGGCAAGCGUUAUCCGGAAUUAUUGGGCGUAAAGCGCGCGUAGGCGGUUUUUUAGUCUGAUGUGAAAGCCCACGGCUCACCCGUGGAGGGUCAUUGGAAACUGGAAAACUUGAGUGCAGAAGAGGAAAGUGGAACUCCAUGUGUAGUGGUGAAAUGCGCAGAGAUAUGGAGGAACACCAGUGGCGAAGGCGACUUUCUGGUCUGUAACUGACGCUGAUGUGCGAAAGCGUGGGGAUCAAACAGGAUUAGAUACCCUGGUAGUCCACGCCGUAAACGAUGAGUGCUAAGUGUUAGGGGGUUUCCGCCCCUUAGUGCUGCAGCUAACGCAUUAAGCACUCCGCCUGGGGAGUACGACCGCAAGGUUGAAACUCAAAGGAAUUGACGGGGACCCGCACAAGCGGUGGAGCAUGUGGUUUAAUUCGAAGCAACGCGAAGAACCUUACCAAAUCUUGACAUCCUCUGACCCCUCUAGAGAUAGAGUUUUCCCCUUCGGGGGACAGAGUGACAGGUGGUGCAUGGUUGUCGUCAGCUCGUGUCGUGAGAUGUUGGGUUAAGUCCCGCAACGAGCGCAACCCUUAAGCUUAGUUGCCAUCAUUAAGUUGGGCACUCUAAGUUGACUGCCGGUGACAAACCGGAGGAAGGUGGGGAUGACGUCAAAUCAUCAUGCCCCUUAUGAUUUGGGCUACACACGUGCUACAAUGGACAAUACAAAGGGUAGCGAAACCGCGAGGUCAAGCAAAUCCCAUAAAGUUGUUCUCAGUCCGGAUUGUAGUCUGCAACUCGACUAUAUGAAGCUGGAAUCGCUAGUAAUCGUAGAUCAGCAUGCUACGGUGAAUACGUUCCCGGGUCU